This is a long non-coding RNA of Clupea harengus (Atlantic herring), 2698 nucleotides long. Lineage: Eukaryota; Metazoa; Chordata; Actinopteri; Clupeiformes; Clupeidae. The record is from Ensembl.
AGAGAGAGACAGAAAGAGAGUGAGAGAGAGAGAGAGCAGUAGAGGAACUCUCGUCUCCAGCCAGGCGAAACCAGAAGCACCUACUCCUCUGUCUCCCGCCACAUCCAUAAUAUUUAAAUGUUUAUUUGUAAAGGUAUUCCUUUUCUCAUUUGGAGCCUGUCAAGCACACACUCCAUCCUGCUGUUUGCAUUCCAGCGUGGUCUAUUUGCAGCGCGGCUCUGUGCUCCGUGUGUGUGUGUGUGUGUGCUCUGUGCCCCUCUAGGCAGUAGGAAUGCACAUCUGGGCGCAAGGGGCCUCUCCUAUGGAAGCAAGCCCCAGCUCAGGCGUGGAGACUCUUCCUUUCUCAAACUAGAUAGCUGGAAGAAUGGGAUCAAAUGUACAAAGCCCUGCACUACCGUCUGGACUAGCGUCUAGGCUAGCGUCUGCACUAGCGUCUGCCCUAGCGUCUGGACUAGCAUCUGCACAGUAUCUGCACGGUGUUUGCCAUAGCGUCUGCACAGUGUUUGCACUACCGUCUGGCCUAGCGUCUAGGCUAGCGUCUGCACAGUGUUUGCACUACCGUCUGCCCUAGCGUCUAGGCUAGCGUCUGCAGUAUCUGCACAGCGUCUGCACAGUGUUUGCUCUAGCGUCUAGGCUAGCGUCUGCACAGUGUUUGCACAGCGCCUGCACAGCAACACAGUGGUGACCAUUCUAAAAUGCUCUACAGAAAGUGCUGACUACCCUGGACCGGGAGGCACAGUGUGUUUUCUGGGUAAUCUAACUGCUACAGGGACACACACACAGACACAGACACACAGACACACAGACAGACAAACAGCAUGUCAGCAGACCCAACUUGCUAAGAGCAGAAACAAGUUGAUUCAGGAAACUUAAGAAUUUGUUGAUUUUUUAAUUACUGCUUUCAAUGCCUUCACAAAGUGCAGCCUCUAUGUCACUCAACCAGCCUUCCCACAGGACUGAAAAAAGGGUUGAUUAAAAUAAUCACAUUUAAAAAACCACACCUACAAAAUAUGAGCAGUCUAUGCUGCAUUAUUACCUAAGGCCAACUUGAAACCAAGACCAACAUUGCUGAGGCCUUUUGAAGUGUGCCAGUAAUUAGCAUACUUCUUAAAUUGGACUGUAAUCCACAUACAUACCGGCCUCUACCUCAAACUUGGAUUGCAUUAGUAGUUAUAUUUAUAUUAUAUUUAUAUUAUAUUAUUUAUUAUUUAUAUUAGUAGUUGUAUUUCAGCUACUCCAUCGGCAUUAUCUUUCUGUUGUUGUUGUUGUUGUUAUUUUAGCCUUGCUAUUAUCUUGUCUUCCAGCUUUUAAUUCAUACAUUUACUGUUCUUCACUAUGUUUGUGACACCAUUUGGGUAGUCACCCCUGACAAAAACACAACAGCAGGAACCUACAAACAAACAAACAAACAAACAAACAAACAAAGAAGCCUAUAUUAUGGAUCCAUAUAUUAAAGAAGCCUAUAUUAUGGAUCCAUAUAUUAGCUAAAGGUUCUGUUCAACACACCACAAGGGUCUCAAUAUCCAGUUUGUCUUCACCAUACCUCUGAACACAAACGAACAUACUACUACAACAAACCAAGCAACUCACUAAUGUUUUUAUCUUAAGUCAUCAAUAUGGCUUUCUAUGUGCAAAAGGCUAAGCAAGGCAAUGGCAGAUUACUACAAUUGCGAGGAAAACAUAUAUUAUGUGUGACUUCAUGGGCUAGUUUAAUAUUUUCAGAUGCAAUAACUUAAAGUUAUCAUCGUUUUCUUUAAUAAUGGCAAACAAAUCACUGAUAUCACAUUAAUUAGUUAUGGAGUCUACACUUCCCCCUUAAAAUUAAUAUCUUUCUUCAUACCUAUAGCUUUGUUAGUAUACUGCUGGUACAAUUGAGAUAUUUUAAAUCACAACUGUUCUUCAUAUAUACAUAUACAUAUUUACAUAACAAGGUGGUGACUUCUACGCUUUAAUCCAAUCACAGGGUCUUUAAAUCCAAUAAAUAGCUAGUGCUUCCUAGCACACCGACCAACACAAGAUAAAUGACUUUGUGUCGCAAGGCAAAGCGUUACGAAAGUAGACUUUUACAAAACUGUCUUCUAACUUUCAAGAUGCCAGUGUAUGUCUAGUUUCAUAAGUAGAUACUGUAGUUUUAGGCUAUCGUUCCAAAGCCACAGGUAGGCUAAGACAGAGUAGAAAUAAAACGGAAAAUAAUUGAACCAACGAAUGGGGUCGAUAGAAAACGGUUUUGGUCUUUUCCAUUUGUGAUUAUUAAUUGUGUCAGCCGGCCUAAUGAACCGAGCCGCUACGGUAACACAAAUACAAACACGUUCCAAAGUUAUCAGUGAAAGCGCGAGCUCAGUUCAGCUCUGUGCGUGUCGGACUGAGGUCUCGAGGGACCGUGAAACUUUUCCACACAUUAACGAGACCGCACCAGAGACCACCCGACCCGAAAACUCGAAAUAUAUCGUUUUCAAAAACAUAUAAUUCAAAACACACGUCUUACCUUAUCUCUCAACGGAGGUUAAACGGGCAUUUUUAUACGGUCAGUCUCCAUGGCCACAGUUGGCUCAAGUUUAAGCUCGUAGUAAGAUGAAUAGAACUGAGAAUCCUAGGCGAAGUCCCAAACGCGCUCCCAUUGGAUGGAUGAGCUGUCAGUUGUAUAGGAGCUGGACUGGGCGUUUCCUGUAGCGGAUGUUGUCGUAAAAAGUGGUGCCGC